RNAcentral lists this ribosomal RNA (278 nucleotides) under Bathymargarites symplector. Its description in RNAcentral is "partial 28S ribosomal RNA gene". It matches the Rfam family "Eukaryotic large subunit ribosomal RNA", at positions 41 to 307 of the family's 3401-position model. Lineage: Eukaryota; Metazoa; Mollusca; Gastropoda; Seguenziida; Seguenziidae. The record is from RNAcentral.
UAUCACUAAGCGGAGGAAAAGAAACUAACUAGGAUUCCCUCAGUAACGGCGAGUGAAGCGGGAAAAGCCCAGCACCGAAUCCCCUGGUCGUGCUUGCCAGAGGGAAAUGUGGUGUUUGGGACGCCGAUCCGGCGUCUGGUCCUGGUGCUCAAGUCCUUCUGAUUGGGGCCAUUCCCAGAGUGGGUGGCAGGCCUUUGGCGGCACGGGACCGGGCGUCUUUCGAGCGUCCUAGGAGUCGGGUUGUUUGGGAAUGCAGCCCAAAGUGGGUGGUAAACUCC